AUUGAACGCUGGCGGCAGGCCUAACACAUGCAAGUCGAGCGGAUGAAGGGAGCUUGCUCCUGGUUUCAGCGGCGGACGGGUGAGUAAUGCCUAGGAAUCUGCCUGGUAGUGGGGGAUAACGUCCGGAAACGGGCGCUAAUAACGCAUACGACCUGAGGGAGAAAGUGGGGGAUCUUCGGACCUCACGCUAUCAGAUGAGCCUAGGUCGGAUUAGCUAGUUGGUGGGGUAAGGGCCUACCAAGGCGACGAUCCGUAACUGGUCUGAGAGGAGGAUCAGUCACACUGGAACGGAGACACGGUCCAGACGCCUACGGGACGCAGCAGUGGGGAAUAUGAGACAAUGGGCGAAAGCCUGAUCCAGCCAUGCCGCGUGUGUGAAGAAGGUCUUCGGAUUGUAAAGCACUUUAAGUGGGGAGGAAGGGCAGUAAGUUAAUACCUUGCUGUUGUGACGGUACCAACAAAAUAAGCACCGGCUAACUUCGUG
Molecule: ribosomal RNA, 484 nt
Filed under: uncultured bacterium
Lineage: Bacteria
Description: partial 16S ribosomal RNA
Rfam family: Bacterial small subunit ribosomal RNA
Source: RNAcentral